CACGUGGGGGCCGAGCGUUGUCCGGAGUUACUGGGCGUAAAGCGCGCGCAGGUGGCCCCGUCUGCCCGGCGUGAAAUCCCUCGGCUCAACCGGGGGGGGUCGUCGGGGACGGCGGGGCUUGAGGGCGGCAGGGGCCGGUGGAAUCCCUGGUGUAGUGGUGAAAUGCGUAGAGAUCAGGGGGAACACCCGUGGCGAAGGCGGCCGGCUGGGCCGACCCUGACACUGAGGCGCGAAGGCGUGGGGAGCGAACGGG
RNAcentral lists this ribosomal RNA (253 nucleotides) under uncultured bacterium. Its description in RNAcentral is "partial 16S ribosomal RNA". It matches the Rfam family "Bacterial small subunit ribosomal RNA", at positions 524 to 776 of the family's 1533-position model. The record is from RNAcentral.